CUCUAUACGGAGUUACAAAAGAACAUGUUAGACGAAUCAUCUGGAAAGAUGAAUCAAAGAAGGUAAUAAUCCUGUAGUCGAAAACAUAUUCUCUCUUGAGUGGAUCCUGAGUACGACGGAGCACGUGAAAUUCCGUCGGAAUCUGGGAGGACCAUCUCCUAAGGCUAAAUACUCUCUAGUGACCGAUAGUGAACCAGUACCGUGAGGGAAAGGUGAAAAGUACCCCGGAAGGGGAGUGAAAGAGAACUUGAAACCGUGUGCUUACAAGUAGUCAGAGCCCGUUAAUGGGUGAUGGCGUGCCUUUUGUAGAAUGAACCGGCGAGUUACGAUCUGAUGCAAGGUUAAGCAGCAAAUGUGGAGCCGCAGCGAAAGCGAGUCUGAAUAGGGCGUUGAGUAUUUGGUCGUAGACCCGAAACCAGGUGAUCUACCCUUGGUCAGGUUGAAGUUCAGGUAACACUGAAUGGAGGACCGAACCGACUUACGUUGAAAAGUGAGCGGAUGAACUGAGGGUAGCGGAGAAAUUCCAAUCGAACUUGGAGAUAGCUGGUUCUCUCCGAAAUAGCUUUAGGGCUAGCCUCAAGUGAUGAUUAUUGGAGGUAGAGCACUGUUUGGACGAGGGGCCCCUCUCGGGUUACCGAAUUCAGACAAACUCCGAAUGCCAAUUAAUUUAACUUGGGAGUCAGAACAUGGGUGAUAAGGUCCGUGUUCGAAAGGGAAACAGCCCAGACCACCAGCUAAGGUCCCAAAAUAUAUGUUAAGUGGAAAAGGAUGUGGCGUUGCCCAGACAACUAGGAUGUUGGCUUAGAAGCAGCCAUCAUUUAAAGAGUGCGUAAUAGCUCACUAGUCGAGUGACACUGCGCCGAAAAUGUACCGGGGCUAAACAUAUUACCGAAGCUGUGGAUUGUCCUUUGGACAAUGGUAGGAGAGCGUUCUAAGGGCGUCGAAGCAUGAUCGCAAGGACAUGUGGAGCGCUUAGAAGUGAGAAUGCCGGUGUGAGUAGCGAAAGACGGGUGAGAAUCCCGUCCACCGAUUGACUAAGGUUUCCAGAGGAAGGCUCGUCCGCUCUGGGUUAGUCGGGUCCUAAGCUGAGGCCGACAGGCGUAGGCGAUGGAUAACAGGUUGAUAUUCCUGUACCACCUAGUAUCGUUUUAAUCGAUGGGGGGACGCAGUAGGAUAGGCGAAGCGUGCUGUUGGAGUGCACGUCCAAGCAGUAAGGCUGAGUGUUAGGCAAAUCCGGCACUCAUAAGGCUGAGCUGUGAUGGGGAGAGGAAAUUGUUUCCUCGAGUCGUUGAUUUCACACUGCCGAGAAAAGCCUCUAGAUAGAUAACAGGUGCCCGUACCGCAAACCGACACAGGUAGUCAAGAUGAGAAUUCUAAGGUGAGCGAGCGAACUCUCGUUAAGGAACUCGGCAAAAUGACCCCGUAACUUCGGGAGAAGGGGUGCUCUUUAGGGUUCACGCCCAGAAGAGCCGCAGUGAAUAGGCCCAAGCGACUGUUUAUCAAAAACACAGGUCUCUGCUAAACCGUAAGGUGAUGUAUAGGGGCUGACGCCUGCCCGGUGCUGGAAGGUUAAGAGGAGUGGUUAGCUUCUGCGAAGCUACGAAU
This 1605-nucleotide ribosomal RNA is filed under the name Enterococcus faecalis. RNAcentral describes it as "partial 23S ribosomal RNA". It matches the Rfam family "Bacterial large subunit ribosomal RNA", at positions 308 to 1912 of the family's 2925-position model. Lineage: Bacteria; Bacillati; Bacillota; Bacilli; Lactobacillales; Enterococcaceae. The record is from RNAcentral.